RNAcentral lists this ribosomal RNA (279 nucleotides) under uncultured bacterium. Its description in RNAcentral is "partial 16S ribosomal RNA". It matches the Rfam family "Bacterial small subunit ribosomal RNA", at positions 506 to 784 of the family's 1533-position model. The record is from RNAcentral.
UGCCAGCCGCCGCGGUAAUACGGAGGGUGCAAGCGUUGUUCGGAAUUAUUGGGCGUAAAGCGCAUGUAGGCGGGAAAAUAAGUCAGUGGUGAAAGCCUGCAGCUCAACUGCAGAACUGCCAUUGAAACUGUUUUUCUUGAAUAUAGAUGAAGUGGGCGGAAUAUAUCAUGUAGCGGUGAAAUGCAUAGAUAUGAUAUAGAACACCGAUUGCGAAGGCAGCUCACUAAACUAUUAUUGACGCUGAGGGACGAAAGCGUGGGGAGCGAACAGGAUUAGAUA